Misgurnus anguillicaudatus (oriental weatherfish) is the source of this 1230-nucleotide long non-coding RNA. RefSeq lists it as uncharacterized. The record is from RefSeq and is a predicted model, not a curated record. Lineage: Eukaryota; Metazoa; Chordata; Actinopteri; Cypriniformes; Cobitidae.
UCAAAUAACAAGCAUCACGCAGAGCUAAAACAUAAAACUUUUAUCAUAAGACAUAAUUUACCAAAAUACAGGGAAUUGAUCAUGGAUUAAGUGGAGUGAAGAGGGAGAGGGUGCCUCAAAUAGAGUGACGUCAAUAUCGAUAAACGCAAAACGCACCCCGGAGCGCUAUUGUACGGAUCUUUCUCUCCGUUGAUACCGGGAUGGAGCGCGGCUGGACCCAAACUGCCUCCCUGCUGGACUGGUUUGAGUGCGCAAAGCGCAGCAGAGGUUAGAGUAGCAGAUAAAAAGGGGAAUGAGGGUGCAGCAUGCGGUUUUGGAAAAACCAGUGUAUUUACACGCUUCAUCUCGUCUCCAAGUCCUCAUUAGGUUGUUAACCUCUUGUUCAGAUGAAAAGCGCCGCGCCGCGCAGGACCCUUGAGCUGAGCGCAGGCAUUCCCCUGAAGGCACAGGACAAAGCGCUUAAAAUAACUGCGUUAAAAUAAGCUUUUAUUGGGCUACUAAUGUAUAUUUAAUGUUACUUUAGGCUAUUUGUUUAUUUGCCUAAAAUAAUUAAUCAUAUUGCACUAUUUGCGUAUUUAUCAGCUAGAGACGGUUUCAGCACCAUAUGUGUUUUACACUCUAAAAAUGCGAGAUUAUUUCAUCCUAUGAUUGGAUAAAAUAUGUGCAAACCCAAUAACUGGAUUGAAAUAAACCUAUGCCGGGUUGUGUAUGGUUGGGUCAAAAAUUGUCAUUUUUAAGUUAAUUUAAACCAACGACGAGUGUCCAUAUUUUUCCAUCAAUUGAACAAUCCUAUUUUUUUCGUAUAGGCCUACAUACUGGAUGGUGAGUAUUACAAAGGUUUCUUAAAACAUAAAACAAGUUUUAUUCUGUUUUAGUGUGGUAGGAUGAAAUAUAUCAUAAAAAUGAUGAUGUUAUUACAAAAAAGUUCACUUUAUGAUAAUAAAAUAAUAGACUUAAGUAAAAUUAUUUUAAAUAGCACAUGUGCUAGUAGUUUUUACUGCUCACAUGAAAAAGUACUACAUUAUACUAUAGUAUAUACUAUAGUAUACUGUACUAUAGGCUACAGUAUGGUUUAAUUAAACAGUAUUUAGUUUUAAAAAAGUAUAGGAAUUCUAUUAAAAUUUUGUAUUUUGACUUCAUUAACGCACGCGCACCUUUUACAUCAAGCUAAUGACAGAUGAAAUGAUCUCUCUCUCUCUCUCUGCUGUGUGUGUGUGUGUGUGUGUGUGU